AACGAACGCUGGCGGCAUGCCUAACACAUGCAAGUCGAACGAGACCUUCGGGUCUAGUGGCGCACGGGUGCGUAACGCGUGGUAACCUGCCCUUAGGUUCGGAAUAACUCCCCGAAAGGGGUGCUAAUACCGGAUAAUGUCUUCGGACCAAAGAUUUAUCGCCUUUGGAUGGGCCCGCGUUGGAUUAGCUAGUUGGUAGGGUAAAAGCCUACCAAGGCGACGAUCCAUAGCUGGUCUGAGAGGAUGAUCAGCCACACUGGGACUGAGACACGGCCCAGACUACUACGGGAGGCAGCAGUGGGGAAUAUUGGACAAUGGGCGAAAGCCUGAUCAAGCAAUGCCGCGUGAGUGAUGAAGGCCUUAGGGUUGUAAAGCUCUUUUACCCGGGAUGAUAAUGACAGUACCGGGAGAAUAAGCUCCGGCUAACUCCGUG
RNAcentral lists this ribosomal RNA (433 nucleotides) under uncultured bacterium. Its description in RNAcentral is "partial 16S ribosomal RNA". It matches the Rfam family "Bacterial small subunit ribosomal RNA", at positions 29 to 507 of the family's 1533-position model. The record is from RNAcentral.